AUUUGUUAUUGAUUUGGUUGUUACAGUAUAGUUGGUGGCAGGAAAGAAUGAUGGUGCAAAGAACCUUGGAGCAAUAACAAAAAGUAUAGUUGAUGGCAGAAAAGAAUGAUGGUGCAAAGAACCUUGGAGCAAUAACAAAAAGUAUAGUUGGUGGCAGGAAAGAAUGAUGGUGCAAAGAACCUUGGAGCAAUAACAAAAAGUUCUUUUAUCAUAAGAAGAAAGACUUUACUUGUUGAUCCUUGAAAGCGGUAGGGAGAUGCAACUUCUUCGGCAUAAAAGCAAAAGAAAAGAUCAACACUAUAAAAGAAUUCAAGGUGAGUGCAUUCUUCUUGAAUAUAUAAAACCCCAACGUUCAUUUUAGUUUGAAUUGUUUAAACUUUAUGCUUCAUAGAUGCAUUGCUACUUUUAAAACUGUUUAAUUAUUAGCACAAGUUCUCUUACGUAUCAUUAAAUUAACGACUCGAUAACAUCACUAUCAACUUGAUUCUAUAAAGUUACUAGAACAAAUAUUGAAUAAUGAAUCCAUAGUAGUAAUGUUUUACUUCUACAUAAAGGUCAAAGAUCAUUCCUUUCAUUGAUAUGAAAGUAACUUUGCAAAUGCUAGGAGACCAAACAUUAAAAAUAAAAUUGAUAAAACAAGAUCAAAUUAUUCCAUAAUUUACUUGACAAUAAUUUUUAUAUACACAAUAAUAAGCCACUUUGAAAUAUGUCAUUCGACCUCACUCAUAAUUACAUAAUCUAAAAAAAAUAUAAACCAUGUAUAGAAAAAUAAGGGAUUACUUUCUCGGAAGCUUUCACAGUAUUCUCUACUGAAACAUUGACAGACCUGUCAUCAUGUUUGCGUUUGAGAAUCUGAUGCUUUUCCGAUCCUUUUCUGAUGUAAGAAAACAUGUAAUUAUAAACAACACAUUCAUAUUCAUAGAAAACACAACAAAAAUACAUAAUUGAAAUAUAUCAUUCCUCAUGGCUCCUAAUUACCGUAUGUAAAGAAAAAUAUAAAUAUUGUACAAAAGAAUAAGAGAUUACCACUUCUCAAAACCUUCAACAAGAUCAACAGCACAACUAACCAAAUUUUCUCGAGGCUCCCAAGUGUUAUCUGUCUCAUCCCAUCCGAACCUUGGGCAAUAAAUAAAAAAAGAAACAAAAUAGUAUUAAAUAUAUCACAUUGUCCCUUUCCCCUUUAGUUUAUCACAAUUUAGCUCUAAAACAACAACAAAAACAAAAGGGGCACUCACCAUUUGACCAAAUACUCCACCUUACGCUGUAUAAUUGCCAUCAACAAAAAGAAAAGUUAAGCAUAAGAAAUAAUUGGACAUAAAAUUCAUUAUCAUACUCCAGGACAUAUAAGAUAUAAAAAAUAAAAACCCUCGAAUGAAAAAAGAAGAGAAGGAGAAAAAUAACCUUUCGGAUCCUCUUUUGACGAAUAGAUUCGACUUCAUAAAAGUCAUCAUUGAGAGAUGGAAAAUUGACGGCGAAACAUCUUUCGGAGCUUCCAAGGUUAUCUAUCGGAACAUCUUGUGACGAGAGAGAGAGAGAGAGCGAAGAAAGAGCAUAUGAUGUUAAUAGUUGUGCUAGCUCCGUAGCGGUAUCUAGCUGCUUUUGCAUUCUUCACUCUUUCUCGUCAUACCUUCUCUCGUCACAAGAUGUUCCGAAAGAUAACCUCGGAAGCUCCGAAAGAUGCUUCGGCGUCAAUUUUCCAUCUCUCAAUGAUGGCUUUUAUGAAACGAAUCUAUUCGUCAAAAGAGGGUCUGCCAGGUCAUGUUUCUCCUUCUCUUCUUUUUUCAUUCCAGGGUUUUUAUUUUGUAUAUCUUAUAUGUCUUAGAGUAUAAUAAUGAUUUUUCUGUCCAAUUAGUUCUUAUGCCUAACUUUUCUUUUUUGUUGAUGGAAAUUUUACAGGGUAAGGUGGAAUAUUUGGUCAAAUGGAUCGAAAAAGCAUCGAAUUCUCAAACGCAACGAAAAAGCAUCGAAUUCUCAAACGCAAGCAUGAUGAUAGGUCUGUCAAUGCUUCAGAAAAGAAUACAGUGAAAGCUUCCAAGAAGAGUUGCUGCUUUCUGCUGGUUACAAUUUUAGUUGAUUUGGUUUUAUUUCUUCUAUUUUGGGUUUUAAUUUUGUAUGACAAACUCUCAAUGCUUUAUGUCAUGUAAAGGCAUUGUGAGUUUGCGGGGAGAUGUUAGAUAAUAUAGAGUAGUUAUUAUUAGUAGUUAGUAGUAAGGGUAAUUUAGACUUUUCAAUUUACCUAUUUUCCUAGUAUAUAUUCUUAUUGUAAGACUAUGCAAUUAAGCUUUGCUCAUUGUAAUGUUAUCAAACCCUAAUAGUCUCCUUUGUA
This is a long non-coding RNA of Trifolium pratense (red clover), 2326 nucleotides long. RefSeq lists it as uncharacterized. Lineage: Eukaryota; Viridiplantae; Streptophyta; Magnoliopsida; Fabales; Fabaceae. The record is from RefSeq and is a predicted model, not a curated record. The transcript is spliced from 6 exons.